This 117-nucleotide ribosomal RNA is filed under the name Bacteroides fragilis. RNAcentral's name for it is "partial 16S ribosomal RNA". It matches the Rfam family "Bacterial small subunit ribosomal RNA", at positions 1 to 103 of the family's 1533-position model. The record is from RNAcentral. Lineage: Bacteria; Pseudomonadati; Bacteroidota; Bacteroidia; Bacteroidales; Bacteroidaceae.
CUUUUACAAUGAAGAGUUUGAUCCUGGCUCAGGAUGAACGCUAGCUACAGGCUUAACACAUGCAAGUCGAGGGGCAUCAGGAAGAAAGCUUGCUUUCUUUGCUGGCGACCGGCGCAC